This 301-nucleotide ribosomal RNA is filed under the name uncultured bacterium. Its description in RNAcentral is "partial 16S ribosomal RNA". It matches the Rfam family "Bacterial small subunit ribosomal RNA", at positions 509 to 807 of the family's 1533-position model. The record is from RNAcentral.
CAGUAGCCGCGGGAACACAGAGGGUGCGAGCGUUAAUCGGAUUUACUGGGCGUAAAGCGUGCGUAGGCGGCUUUUUAAGUCGGAUGUGAAAUCCCUGAGCUUAACUUAGGAAUUGCAUUCGAUACUGGGAAGCUAGAGUAUGGGAGAGGAUGGUAGAAUUCCAGGUGUAGCGGUGAAAUGCGUAGAGAUCUGGAGGAAUACCGAUGGCGAAGGCAGCCAUCUGGCCUAAUACUGACGCUGAGGUACGAAAGCAUGGGGAGCAAACAGGAUUAGAUACCCCCGUAGUCCCUGUCUCUUAUAC